RNAcentral lists this ribosomal RNA (253 nucleotides) under uncultured bacterium. RNAcentral's name for it is "partial 16S ribosomal RNA". It matches the Rfam family "Bacterial small subunit ribosomal RNA", at positions 524 to 776 of the family's 1533-position model. The record is from RNAcentral.
UACGGAGGGUGCGAGCGUUGUCCGGAAUCACUGGGCGUAAAGGGCGCGUAGGCGGCGCGGAUAGUCGGCGGUGAAAGCCCGGAGCUCAACUCCGGGUCGGCCGUCGAUACUUCCGGGCUUGAGCACUGUAGAGGCAGAUGGAAUUCCGGGUGUAGCGGUGGAAUGCGUAGAGAUCCGGAAGAACACCGGUGGCGAAGGCGGUCUGCUGGGCAGUAGCUGACACUGAGGCGCGACAGCGUGGGGAGCAAACAGG